Molecule: long non-coding RNA, 3198 nt
Filed under: Oryza sativa Indica Group (long-grained rice)
Lineage: Eukaryota; Viridiplantae; Streptophyta; Magnoliopsida; Poales; Poaceae
Description: lncRNA OsMH63_09G003500
Source: RNAcentral
AACAUUGUUGUAACACCGAUCUAUAAUGCUAUAUUCAAACAUCUAUUGUAUCCAUUCAAAGUUACCAGAAAUGUGGAGAAUCUCGAGAAGGCUACAAAGAAAUUGAUUGCUAAACGUGAUGAUGUUGAGAACAAGAUUAGUAACGAUGAGAGAAGCGGCAUGAGAAUAAAAAGUGAAGCAAGAAGAUGGUUGGAGGACGUCAAUACCACCAUAUCUGAAGAAGCGGAUAUUAAUCAGAAAUAUGAAAGCAGGGGAAUGACUUUCGGCGGAUGCUCCAUGAAUUGCUGGUCAAACUACAAAAUCAGCAAGCGUGCAUCGCAGAAGCUCCUUGAAGUGAAGGAGCAUUAUAUAGCUGAUAUGAGUGUCGUUGGAGAUCAACCAUCGCCAGAACCUGUUCAAAAGAUCCCUAUUCCCUGUGAUCAUGUAAUGGACAAUGAUAACAAUCUUCGUGAAGCUCUGGACUAUAUCAAGAACGAUCCAGUUGGGAUAAUUGGGAUAUGGGGUGUAGGUGGAGUUGGCAAGACCCAUCUCCUGAACAAGAUCAACAAUUCAUUUCUUGGGGACUCUUCCUUUCAUUCUAUCAUCUAUGUUAUUGCCUCUAAAGAGUGUUCUGUGCAGAAGAUCCAAGCUGAGAUUGUCAAGAAACUUAACCUACGGAAAGAUGACGAUGUAAAAUUCCAAGCCCACAUCAUUUCUGAAUUUCUCGACGGAAAAAAUUUUCUGUUAUUGUUGGAUGACCUCUGGGAGAGGAUUGAUCUUCUGGAAGUUGGCAUACCAACACUAGGAAUUGAAAACAACCUCAAGAGGAAGGUGGUCCUCACAACAAGAUCACAGGAUGUAUGUGGUCAAAUGGAGGUGAGGAAACAGAUAAAAGUUGCUUGUUUACGAGAUGAGGAAGCAUGGAAACUAUUUCUGGAGAAGGUCGAUGAAGAAACUCUCCCUUCCAGUUCUCUAAUUGAACUUGCAAAACAAGUAGUGAAGGAACUCAAGGGCUUGCCAUUGGCUCUUGUAACUGUCGGAAGGGCAAUGUACGCCAAAAGGGACCCGGAUGUGUUCAUAGCUACAGAUGAACUCGACCAAUGUUGGAUGGGCUUAGGUCUGGUGGACAAGGAUGAUAUACAAAGUUCCUACAGAGAAGCAUGUAACAGCUGGCAUACUUCUCGUGUAAUCACAAUGCAUGAUGUGGUUCGUGACAUGGCUCUAUGGAUCUGUUGCGGUUGCAGUGAAAAGAACGACAACUGGGUUGUCCAUGCACAAGUUGGCAAAAAUUUAUCAAGAAGAACAAUCCCAUGGAGCAAAGCUGAAUGCGUCUCCUUGAUGUGGAAUCGCAUUGAAGAAUUGCCUCCCAUGGAUUCAAAUUAUUUUCCCGCAAAACUCAGGACAUUAUGUCUUCAAGGCAAUCGUUUGGAUGGAAGGAUAGUUGAAACUCUUAAGAAUUUCACUGCACUCACAUAUCUGGAUUUAUGCUCGAAUUCCCUCACUAACAUACCAGCGGAGAUAUGUGCCUUGGCCAAUUUGGAGUAUCUCGAUUUGGGAUAUAAUUCAGGAAUAUGCGAAGUCCCCACCUGCUUUAGAGAACUCAGUAAGCUCAAAUUCUUGUAUCUGUCAUGCACUAACGUAUGGAGAAUUCCAGAGGAUGUCAUAUCUAGCCUUAAAGCACUGCAGGUCAUAGACUUGACGCCAAAACCCAAACCUUGGAAUCGGUACGGUAACAGAGAAAACCACGCGGAUCAUAUGCCUUCAGUAGUACUAAUCCAAGAGUUAACCAAACUAAGUAAGUUAAAAGCAGUUGGCAUUACUGUUGAAAGUGUUUCUAGUUAUGAAGCACUUAAGGAAUAUCCUAACCUACCUAUUAGGAGACUUGUUCUAAAUAUAGAGGAACGAGAGUCAGUGUUCUAUCUACUGACUGGUCCUUUGUCAGAUCACUUGGCUCAAAUGACCUUACAUAAGUUGGAAAUUUAUCGCAGCAGCAUGGAGGAAAUAAUAAUAGAGAGACACGAGAGUGGUGGCCAUUUGGAACAAAACUAUAGUUUUGAUGCUCUGAAUCAGCUGGACUUACAAUUUUUGGAAAACCUGAAAGUUAUUACGUGGAAAGGAAUACGUCCAGAAUUGCUUUUCCAUAGGCUCACCGUUCUGUAUACCAUUGACUGCGACCAGCUGGAAGAUAUCUCGUGGGCGCUGCAUUUACCUUUUCUGGAAGAACUAUGGGUGCAAGGUUGUGGCAAGAUGAGACAUGCCAUUCGGAACAUAUCAAAGCAAGAGAGCUCAAUGCAAUCGAUUGAUACAUUCCCGCGCCUCGUUUCUAUGCUAUUUGCAAAUAACGAUGGGUUGGUCAGCAUAUGUGAUUCAGAUGUGACAUUCCCAUCCCUAAAGAGCCUGAGGGUCACAAAUUGUGAAAAUCUUAAGAGGCUUCCUUUUCGGCAGCAGAGCUUGCCACCCAAGUUGCAGGUUAUAUACUCCGAUAGUGUUGAAUGGUGGGAUAAUCUUGAAUGGGAAGAAGAAGAACAAGUUGUUGUAAUUAGGGACUUGAGACGCGACCCCCGCGUCGCUCUCGCGCGGGCGGCUCGGGGGCGAAACCCUAGCCGCCCACGCCGCCACACCCUCAUCCCCCUCCUCCACCUCGCCGCCGCUGGAACUCGCCGGCGGCAAAGCCGGCGGCGUGCCGAGAAGGCGGCGGCGAGGCCCAAACGGCUCGGCGGAACCGGCCCCUGCGCGAGUAGGACGGAGAACGCCGACGAUGGCGCGGCCGGAGGUGGAGACGGCGGUUCGGCUUGGGGCGGCGGAUCCGGCGCCCCUAUGGCCGGAUCUGGCCUCCCCACCCACGGAUCCGGUCGGCGCGGUGAGCGGCGCGACGGAGGCGGAGCGGGCGGCGAGCGGCGCGUGCGUGCCCUGCCGGCGCGGCGCGCGGCGUGGGCGUGCCCUGCCGGCGCGGCGGGCGGCGAGACGGGCAGCGCGACGGACGCGGUGUGGGCGGCGGGCGGCGCGACGUGGGCCCUGGCCAGCGCGGCGGUGACGUGGGUUGGGGUUGCUGCGGCGACGGCGCCUGCUCCUGCUCUGCCUCGUGCCCCCGCCCGGCGUCGUUGUCGGAUGGCGUGUAGGAGGAAGGCGAGGCCAGCGGGCAGGGCGAGGCGGCGGCCGGUGGUGUGCGAGGUGGUGCUGGCCAGACACGCGGCCUUGGCCCAAUGGCCGGUGGCGUGA